This 404-nucleotide ribosomal RNA is filed under the name Fusobacteriota bacterium. RNAcentral's name for it is "Fusobacteria bacterium partial 16S ribosomal RNA". It matches the Rfam family "Bacterial small subunit ribosomal RNA", at positions 355 to 776 of the family's 1533-position model. Lineage: Bacteria; Fusobacteriati; Fusobacteriota. The record is from RNAcentral.
UGGGGAAUAUUGCACAAUGGAGGGAACUCUGAUGCAGCGACGCCGCGUGAGUGAUGAAGGACUUCGUUUCGUAAAACUCUGUUCUAUGGGAAGAAAAGGACUGUACCAUAGGAGAAAGCUCCGGCUAAAUACGUGCCAGCAGCCGCGGUAAUACGUAUGGAGCGAGCGUUGUCCGGAAUUAUUGGGCGUAAAGGGUGCGCAGGCGGCUUUACAAGUUGGAUGUGAAAUAUUGUGGCUCAACCACAAACGUGCAUCCAAAACUGCAAAGCUUGAGAUAAGGAGAGGUAAGUGGAAUUCCUGGUGUAGCGGUGGAAUGCGUAGAUAUCAGGAGGAAUACCGGUGGCGAAGGCGACUUACUGGACUUAAACUGACGCUCAGGCACGAAAGCGUGGGGAGCAAACAGG